This 253-nucleotide ribosomal RNA is filed under the name uncultured bacterium. RNAcentral describes it as "partial 16S ribosomal RNA". It matches the Rfam family "Bacterial small subunit ribosomal RNA", at positions 524 to 776 of the family's 1533-position model. The record is from RNAcentral.
UACGGAGGGGGCGAGCGUUGUCCGAAGUUACUGGGCGUAAAGCGCGCGUAGGCGGGUUGGUAAGUCCGCUGUGAAAUCCCGGAGCUUAACUCCGGUAGGUCGGUGGAUACUGCCAGUCUUGAAGGUGCUAGGGAGAGAUGGAAUUACCGGUGUAGCGGUGAAAUGCGUAGAGAUCGGUAGGAACACCAGUGGCGAAGGCGGUCUCUUAGGGCAUUCUUGACGCUGAGGCGCGAAAGCUGGGGGAGCAAACGGG